Molecule: small nuclear RNA, 164 nt
Organism: Gallus gallus (chicken)
Lineage: Eukaryota; Metazoa; Chordata; Aves; Galliformes; Phasianidae
Gene: U1
Rfam family: U1 spliceosomal RNA
About the family: U1 is a small nuclear RNA (snRNA) component of the spliceosome (involved in pre-mRNA splicing).
Source: Ensembl
ACAUUAACCUAGCAGGGAGAACACCAUGAUCGGGAAGGUGGUUUUCCCAGGGCAAGGCUCAUUUACACGCACUCCGGUGUGCUGACCCCUGUGAUUUCCCCAAAUGCAGGAAACUAAAUUGCAUAAGUAGUGGGCAGGCGAGGGGGAAUUUUUUUUUUUUUUUU